Molecule: long non-coding RNA, 569 nt
Filed under: Drosophila guanche
Lineage: Eukaryota; Metazoa; Arthropoda; Insecta; Diptera; Drosophilidae
Source: RNAcentral
UGCUGCAACUUUUUUAAUUUAAUGAAUAUUCUGGGACAAUUUAUUAGUGAACAUAUUGAUUUCAGCGUUUGCCGUGUUCCAACGUUGUCCCAUGUGUGCGCCCAGAGCCUGCCUGGCCUGGGCUCGAGCCGCACGUUGUUGUUGCAAAGUUUAUACGGUAGUUACCAACAUAAAUAGCAGCAAUUUGGCCAGACACCCAACAGCCCCAAACCUCAGCGAGCGGGCAAGGGAGAUAGAGAGAGGGAGAGAGAGAGAGAGAGAUCCCUGGACUGUACUGGACACUGGGGCCCGAGCCGGACGCAGUCGCAGCUUGCUGAACAAGCGUACAAUUAAUAUGCCCCAUGCCUGCCGCCGUCGCCGCCCGCACCACAGGCGGUCCCUCCACACACACACACAGGUCCACCGUGCCCGCGAUCCUGGUGAGAGACUUUUCGAAAACUUUUCAGCUUCGACUCGAACUCUGGGGGAGCGCUGUUGUUCCACGGUUUCAAUCUUUUUUUUUUAGCUUUCUUUGUUUUUGGCUCUUGGUUGCAUUUCCUUUUAUUUUGUUUUGGAUCAGUCGAAAGCUG